RNAcentral lists this unclassified non-coding RNA (209 nucleotides) under Hevea brasiliensis (rubber tree). Lineage: Eukaryota; Viridiplantae; Streptophyta; Magnoliopsida; Malpighiales; Euphorbiaceae. The record is from RNAcentral.
AUGGAUUUCAUCAUUAGUCCCUUGUGAUGGAGCUUGUACCAAGAUAUGGAGGAUCCUAUCUUCUAUCUUAAGACUUCAAUACAGGCACUUCUUGAAUUUUAGAAUUAAAAUAAUGAUGAAUUUGAACUCUUUAACAUUAUCAAUUAACGAAAAGAAUAAAGGGAAAAAAGCACAAUCCCUUGAGUAACAAGGAAAAAAAUAAAAGAAAA